Molecule: non-coding RNA, 1072 nt
Filed under: Pongo abelii (Sumatran orangutan)
Lineage: Eukaryota; Metazoa; Chordata; Mammalia; Primates; Hominidae
Source: RNAcentral
GGAAAGUUAACAUCUAAUCUGGAAGAAGACCCUGGAGGGAGCCAGCCCCUUCCCCCAGGCUGAGCUUGUUUAAGCCUUUCUUCUGCCAAGGUCACCAGCACCCCAGAUGGGUGAGAGAUGUGAUCACUGGUUUCGUGGCCUGACCAAGGACCUCCAAGGAGGUAUCUUUCCCAUCUUGGCCCACAGAGGAGGAAAUCCUAGAAGGGAUGACUGAAGCUUGGGACUAACACAUUGGUGGAUCUGUGCUACUCCCUGCUGGCCACAGAUGGUAUGACAGCCAAGAUAGGGCAAGGAUUUGAGGGGCGAUGGAUGGAUUCACCGCAGCGGCGACAUUUCUGGACUGUUGUCACCUUCAGUGCAGUCACUGGGGAUAUUCAGAACCCAGGUGAUUGAUAAGGUUUCCCCAGGGAUCUCUUCUCUCCCCUUCACCAUUACUCUGUAGGAGCCUCCUUAAAAACGGAAAACGAGAGGCCGGGCGCGGUGGCUCACGCCUGUAAUCCCAGCACUUUGGGAGGCUGAGGCGGGCGGAUCACGAGGUCAGGAGAUUGAGACCAUCCUGGCUAACACGGUGAAACCCCGUCUCUACUUAAAAUACAAAAAAAUUAGCCGGGCAUGGUGGCACGCGCCUGUAGUCCCAGCUACUCAGGAGGCUGAGGCAGGAGAAUCGCUUGAACCCGGGAGGUGGAGGAGGUUGCAGUGAGCUGAGAUGGCGCCACUGCACUCCAGCCUGGCCGACCGAGACCCUGUCUCAAAAAAAAAAAAAAAAAAAAAAAAGGAAAAAGGGGCCGGGCGCGGUGUCUCACGCCUAUAAUCCUAGCACUUUGGGAGACCAAGGCGGGCAGAUCACGAGGUCAGGAGUUCGAGACUAGUGUGGCCAACAUGGUGAAACCCCAUCUCUACUAAAAAUACAAAAAAUUAGCUUGCCUGUAAUCCUAGCUACUCCGGAGGCUGAGGCAGGAGAAUCGCUUGAACCCAGGAGGCCGAGGUUGCAGUGAGCCGAGAUCACGCCAUUGCACUACAGCCUGGGCGACAGAGCAAGACUCCGUCUUGAGGGGAAAAAAAAAAAAAGGAA